Molecule: ribosomal RNA, 253 nt
Filed under: uncultured bacterium
Lineage: Bacteria
Description: partial 16S ribosomal RNA
Rfam family: Bacterial small subunit ribosomal RNA
Source: RNAcentral
UACGGGGGGAGCAAGCGUUGUUCGGAUUUACUGGGCGUAAAGCGCGUGUAGGCGGCUCUGUAAGUCGGGUGUGAAAUCCCACGGCUCAACCGUGGAAGUGCACUCGAAACUACAGGGCUAGAGUCCUGGAGAGGAAGGUGGAAUGCUUGGUGUAGAGGUGAAAUUCGUAGAUAUCAAGCGGAACACCGGUGGCGAAGGCGGCCUUCUGGACAGUGACUGACGCUGAGACGCGAAAGCGUGGGGAGCAAACAGG